Molecule: ribosomal RNA, 440 nt
Filed under: uncultured Acidobacteriota bacterium
Lineage: Bacteria; Pseudomonadati; Acidobacteriota
Description: uncultured Acidobacteria bacterium partial 16S ribosomal RNA
Source: RNAcentral
GACUACCGGGGUAUCUAAUCCUGUUUGCUACCCACGCUUUCGUGCCUCAGCGUCAGUCAUGGUCCAGAUAGCCGUCUACACCGCAGGUGUUCCUCCUGAUAUCUACGCAUUUCACCGCUACACCAGGAAUUCCACUAUCCUCUCCCACACUCUAGCUAGCCAGUUUUCGGCGCACCCUCCCAGUUAAGCCGGGAGAUUUCACACCAAACUUAGUUAACCGCCUACGCACUCUUUACGCCCAGUAAUUCCGAACAACGCUUGCUGCCUACGUAUUACCGCGGCUGCUGGCACGUAGUUAGCCGCAGCUUCUUCUCCGGGUACCGUCAUUAUCGUCCCCGUCGAAAGAACUUUACACCCCGAAGGGCUUCAUCGUUCACGCGGCGUCGCUGCAUCAGGGUUUCCCCCAUUGUGCAAGAUUCCCCACUGCAGCCGCCCGUAGG